CCAGGAGGAGGAGCCUCAGCCCAAGGCCAGGGCUCCCCAGGACCAGGCUUUGGGUUUGGGGCAUCCAGCAGGAUCAAGUCAAGAUGCUCCUAGGCACACGGUCCGGAGUUCAGUGAGGACAGCAGAGCGGGGGCAACAGACCGAAGGGUCCUCAGCAUGCAGGUGGCCCCGCGGACCGGAGGAUGGUGAAAGACAGGAAUAUGUUUCCCUCCGUGAAUUGCUAGCACGUCCUGAUGGUCCCUGAGCCAGACCCCCCGGCAGGGGUGCAGGACGUGCCAUGGGUCCUACGUCACCGCCCGUCCCACGCACCCACGCCCCCCGCUCUGGGUCGGGGUGUGGGCCCAGGCCUGCCUGCCUCUCAAGCCUCGAUCUUCCCAUGGCGAUCCACUGCCCUAGAUUUCCACGCCGUGAUUCCCAGCACGCGGGGUGCACCGAGCCCCGCAGAGCCGUCGGCCAUGCGCCCGAGUGAGGCCGUGAGCGCCCCGGAGCAGUCCCGAGCCACCCGCGUCCUCCCUCUUUCGAUUCCCAUCUCAGCGUUUCGCAACUUAUUUUUCUGUCUCUUUCGUGUCCUCCUUCCGCCAGUGAGUGUUGGUCUCAGGCACCCGGCAUUUCAAAACCUGUUCCAUGGCUUCCUCCCCAUCUGCCCCCACCCCAAGCCUGACUUUCUGUGCUCAUAAAAAAAAAAAAAAAAAGAAAAGAAAAGAAAAA
This is a long non-coding RNA of Canis lupus familiaris (dog), 708 nucleotides long. RefSeq lists it as uncharacterized. The transcript is spliced from 2 exons. The record is from RefSeq and is a predicted model, not a curated record. Lineage: Eukaryota; Metazoa; Chordata; Mammalia; Carnivora; Canidae.